This 378-nucleotide unclassified non-coding RNA is filed under the name uncultured Gammaproteobacteria bacterium. RNAcentral describes it as "contains 16S-23S intergenic spacer region". The record is from RNAcentral. Lineage: Bacteria; Pseudomonadati; Pseudomonadota; Gammaproteobacteria.
UCCGGCUUAACGCCGGCAGUCCCCAUAGAGUGCCCAACUAAAUGAUGGCAACUAGGGGCGAGGGUUGCGCUCGUUGCGGGACUUAACCCAACAUCUCACGACACGAGCUGACGACAGCCAUGCAGCACCUGUGUUCAGGUUCUCUUUCGAGCACUAAGCCAUCUCUGGCAACUUCCUGACAUGUCAAGGGUAGGUAAGGUUUUUCGCGUUGCAUCGAAUUAAUCCACAUCAUCCACCGCUUGUGCGGGUCCCCGUCAAUUCCUUUGAGUUUUAAUCUUGCGACCGUACUCCCCAGGCGGUCGACUUCACGCGUUAGCUUCGUUACUGAGAGUGUCAAACCCCCAACAACCAGUCGACAUCGUUUAGGGCGUGGACUAC